This 463-nucleotide ribosomal RNA is filed under the name uncultured bacterium. RNAcentral describes it as "partial 16S ribosomal RNA". It matches the Rfam family "Bacterial small subunit ribosomal RNA", at positions 28 to 507 of the family's 1533-position model. The record is from RNAcentral.
GAUGAACGCUGACAGAAUGCUUAACACAUGCAAGUCUUUGGCGAAUCUGUGCUUGCACAGGCUAGCCAAGGCGGACGGGUGAGUAACGCGUAAAGAACUUGCCCUGCAGACAGGGAUAACAGACGGAAACGACUGAUAACACCUGAUACAGUUGCCGGCACGCAUGUGCCUGGCAAUGAAAAGAGAUGCUGCAGGAGAGCUUUGCGUCCUAUUAGCUUGUUGGUGAGGUGACGGCUCACCAAGGCGAUGAUAGGUAGCCGGCCUGAGAGGGUGAACGGCCACAAGGGGACAGAGAUACGGCCCUUACUCCUACGGGAGGCAGCAGUGGGGAAUAUUGGACAAUGGGGGCAACCCUGAUCCAGCAAUUCUGUGUGCACGAAGAAGGUUUUCGGAUUGUAAAGUGCUUUCAGCAGGGAAGAAGAAAGUGACGGUACCUGCAGAAGAAGCGACGGCUAAAUACGUG